AUGCCCACGAUAUUAGAACAUGAGGUUUAUGACUUGAUUUCAAGCAUUCCCAUUCAUGUUAGAUAUUAUGAUGACCAUGUACUUCAUGAAAUCCCUCACCCAUGUAUUAUGGAUUAUUAUUGAUGGUCAUGUAUUCAAGAAAGUCACGCUGUGUCAGUUUCCUUCCAUCGAAUCCUGGGGGUACUUGUACCCAAAAAAUAUAGCUGUGUGCCUAGAGCCAUGCCAUGUUUUC
RNAcentral lists this long non-coding RNA (232 nucleotides) under Capsicum annuum. RNAcentral describes it as "long non-coding RNA (CANN_LNC009823)". The record is from RNAcentral. Lineage: Eukaryota; Viridiplantae; Streptophyta; Magnoliopsida; Solanales; Solanaceae.